Molecule: long non-coding RNA, 5308 nt
Filed under: Chlamydomonas reinhardtii
Lineage: Eukaryota; Viridiplantae; Chlorophyta; Chlorophyceae; Chlamydomonadales; Chlamydomonadaceae
Description: long non-coding RNA (CREI_LNC000833)
Source: RNAcentral
ACAAUGACGUUAUCAACUGUCAGCUCGACGCCGAAGGAGUAGCCGUAGGUCAGGGCCAGAAUCCAAGACCUGGGGGUGGCGGGUGGGCGUUGGUGGGAAGGGUGGCGGAGCGGGGCAAGGGCUUAGUUAUGGCAGCUAUGGGGAGCAUUUUGGGGCGAGACCGGCGCAACUCUCGGCGGGCGGAGCCAUGCGCCCAACGACACGCUAGACUACUGACGCAUAGUAAUGCCUUUUGCGGAACACACGGCCCUGUCACGCGCGCCACAUGCUUGAAACGCACCUGUAGUUGCCGAGGCCGCACUUGAUGACUGGCCACAUGUUGCCCUUGGCCUUGAGCGUGCCCUCCUUCUUCAGGUCACGGUAGUCCUUGCCGCUGGGGUGGUCAAUGCCCAGGAGCAGGGUCAGGGUGGCGGUGACAAUGUAGAUGCCGCCGGGGACGAAGAAAGCCCAACGCCAGGCCUGGUAGCCGGGAACGCCGCCGUCCUUGAUGCCCUGGUAGAUGAGCGGCAUGAUGAAGUGGCAAGCGCCGCCACCCAUGUUGCCCCAGCCGGCGGCGAUGGCGUUGGCGGUGCCGACGAUUUGCACGUUGAACAUGGUACCGCACCAGAACUGGCAGCACACGAACAUGCAGAGCGAGAGACCGAUAAAGAAGCGCACACAGGCGAAGGUGGAGAAGUCGGUGACCAGGGCCAUGCAGAAGACGGCGGGUGCGGUCAUGAGCAUGGCGGCAGCGGCGCCGUAGCGGGGACCUGUCGAGAACCCGGAAAGCAAGGAGGGGUACGUAAGUGCGCGUUCACCAGUUAUGCGGCUAAGAGCGGAGAUCUGGGAUGCUCGCGGUCCAUCCCUACCAAGGCCGCAGCGGAAUCAUGCCGACACCAGGCGUACAUGCAUCCCACACAAAGCAGGCUGCCCGCACGGGGCCUGCUGGCAGGUCUUGGCACGUAUACGCGCACACACAACAAUGGGCCACAUGCCUCCGACGUCCUCAUGAAUGAAAUACGCAUGCAGCUUCAAAGCGAACUCACCUACGACGUCGACGAAGAUGCCCAUGAAGAGACGCGCCGCGAUGGCACCGCACACGGCGGAGACGCCGGCGUUGCCCACCUCCGACUUGGUCAGGAACAGGUCAUCACGGAUAACGGGCGCGAGCGAGGCAGGCGCAAAUGUAGCGACGAAGGACAUGAAGAAGCAAAUCCAGGACAGGUGGAAGGCCAUCAUGCUGCGGAGGAGAGGAGAAGGAGGGAAGGGCCAUGGGAAGGGGCGGCGGGGGCGUCAGGGUAAGGGCGUUUGGGCGUUUGAUGGUGUGUUGGCGCCAUGCCCGGAGUCGCUAACGACUGGCGGGAGCCGUAAACGAACUGACGGCUUGACAUCAAAGCAGUUCUACAUGACCCUGUGCCGCGUCGAGCCAAAAUUCCGAGCGCGCGCCGUCGCUCAACACCCGCGACUCAAAGACGACCAUGCCAGGAUGGCACGGGGCCUCGCUAGCUCGCGCUGCUCGAUCGAACGUCUGCACGCCCCCGCCCCUCCGACAGCCCGGCUCACUGUGGUUGCGUGAAGCGCCAUACCGGCACAUAUUUAGCUUUCCCCUCGGAGUCGAGCGCAUAUGGGUACUUCUUCUCAACGGUGGCCAUCUUUAUAAAUCUCGUGUUCCACUAAGUUGUAUUAAGAAACACGGGUUGUGAACUACCGAAUUUAUGGGGGCCGAUGGAGAUGAAAACUCUGCUGCGCCCCUUCGUGCACGGGGCGCACCCACUUUUCGUUUCCACAGUGACCCCUCGUCAACGGCCAGCGCAUCGCAUCUGAAAUGUCUCGUUGUGGUCCAAUUAUUCACUGGAGCCGCGGAAGGGGCGCGUCUCAAGCUUCAGCGUCCGCAAAGCCACGUCCGUGUCUGACUAAUGACAGCCUCGAUCGCAAACGCUGCGUCCUUAUUUGCACGCAAAGCUUGUGCUCGCCCGCAGACGAGCAGGCACAUGUGCUCGGUCUUAGCACGUGUGCCGGUCUUUGUUCGUUUGGCCGAGAAGUUUUUUAACGGCACGUGAGGCGCCACGGGGGAGUGGAAAGCGCGAGGACCCCCGACAUGAGUAACGCAACUCCGUUUUGCAGGGCUGAGUUUUGCCGCGCCCUGAUGGCCAGUUAGAACUCGGAGCCAGCCGCGCAGUACGGGCCACGAGGUGGGCGCGCAGUUGGCUUUCGUGUCGUCACCGUCACAUACAGGCAGAUGGGCAGGCGCAUGGCGGGAGGCAUAUGUGUGCACAUGCUUGGACGUGCGAAGGCGGGGUCCAAGGCGCGCCAGUAAUCCUCGUGAAUGAAUCAUGCUUAGGUGCGGUGCUGCAGGGAUAGGGGCAGGGCAGCGUGGCGUAGUCACGAUGUGAUAAUGCGCGCGUAUUCCCAUACCCACGUCCCAGACCCCAGCACGAAGUAUCAAGUUGCAACGGAAUUGCGGUACCGAAUGAAGAGCGGGAGAGGGAGUUUGUGUGUGUGUGUGUGUGUGUGUGUGUGUGUGUGUGUGUGUGUGUGUGUGUGUGUGUGUGUGUGUGUGUGUGUGUGUGUGUGCGUGCGUGCGUGCGUGGAUGCGCUUGGUGCGUUGGUGCCAAUGCAGCCUGAUUAAUCACACCUGGCCUCACUGCUACAGCCUUUUCAGCAGUGUUGCACGCACCACAGUUCAAAAAGGCUGAAGCGUUGCAAGAGAAAGACGCAGCGCACAGGGAAGGAUGAUGUUUCUUCGAUAUUUACAGUCCGCGGUGUCCUGGGAUCGCUGUCCCGACCCGUGGGAUGUACGCGCGCGGCCCCUGCAGCAGGCUGUGAUUGGCUGCUCAUGCACACACGCAUCUCACCAUCCGCGCUCAUAUCCUUUUGGCACGGAAGCAGCAUCAACUACACACAUUGCGUUGGCUACUCCCACACUCAGCUUAGUACAAAAGCAGUUGUAAAAUACAUUGACUCUGUGCUUCAGCCGCACAGUGUCAUCUGCAAUAACGCUCUCCUUAAUCACCGCACACCUGAACAUCUAUCUUCAUCCUAUACUCCUACCCCAUCUAAUUCAAACCCUCUGGCCCCGCGCGGAUGCCGAAGCACUCCUGCCACACUGCACUCAAAAUACACUUCGUAGCACAAAGUGCUCAGACUCCCGACUCAUAAAUAAUUCUCAGCUCGAUUCGCACUCCGUCAAUGGUCUAUGCCGUGCAUGUGUCAAUGUCACACCAACCCAGCGCAACACACAUCACUGUCCGUCCGCUGCUUUUGUGUCAAAAGUCAAGAAGCUUCACACGCCGACCCUGGCGGCGCCAACUGAGAUCAACGUGGAUGCCACGAUCACUUCAGUGCCACAGCUACCUGGCUAAGGGGUCCGGAAGCGGCUGCCCUGUCACACAACAAGCACGGCGGCAAGCGCAAGCAAGAGCCAUAUGAUGCCCGGCCUCCCCAGUCUCCACACAUGCCACACUACGCAGAUGUGAGCCUUCGCUCGACACCAUGCGGUUGCAGCUAUAAAAGGCACAUAUGUAUAACGCCGUCUGGCUCAUGCGGAAGUCGGGCAGGCUCAUGCGGGCGCCUCGCUAGCUCUUAAGCUAGUUGGCGAGAGCCACGGAUGGCCCUAAUACCGUUGGGGCAUGUCACACCCGUGGAGGGCACUGUAUAACGCCGCCGCCUGCUCCAUGCCAGCGGUCCGGCCAAACACAUACACCGUGUGCCCGGCAUUCAACACACCCAUGCACGGGUACCUCCCAACUUUUCCCUAACUUAUUUAGUAUGAGCCCUGCCCAUAUGCAGAGCUUGCUAGUCGCUGCAGCCCGUAGCACCUAGGCUCUGAGCUAGCACGCAUCUUAUUAGACCACCACGGGCUUGGCAGCAGCGGGCUCCGAGUCGGAGUUGCUGUGGGACUCGAGCGGGGCGCCGGCGGCGCGCUUGUCCCGAGUGCCGCGCUGCGACCUGUUGAGUUGGUUGCAGAGGGGAGCGGGCAGUGCGGGCAGCAUGUCAGAGGACGGGCCGUGCAAUGGGCGCAUAAGGACUGGAGCUCAAGGUACAUGUGAGGGCCCACAGCGCAGCGCAGCGCACCCUCGCAUCCUCUUUGCAUGACGCAUGUUCUAGUAUACACAUUACACGUAUGCACACAAGCAAGCAAGCAGGCGCAUCCAUGCAAGAGACAAGCACUACUCACUUGGACUCCAUGGCGAAGCGCAUCGAGCCCUGGUGCAGGCCCGACGCCACCUCCUCCGCACUCCACUCGCGCAUGUAGUAGUCCUCCUCCUCGGCGCCCUCGCGCGGCCCAGUCAGCAUGGAGCCCCACAUGGGGAACCAGAUGAAGAACAGCGGCAGCGUGAGGCCGAUGGUCAUGAUACCCAUGUAGACAAACCCGUCGGCCUUGCUCAGGCUGCGGGGCGAGAGGGAAGAAGGAACGGGGGCGAAGGGAGGGAAGGGAGGGAGAGGGUCAGUCGACACUUGCUUGCGGGAGGCAUGAACUUGGAGAGCAUCAAGCCUACAUUGCGCGAGGUUGCAGAGAAAGGAGCGGCCAUCCUGGCGCUUUUUCCUAGGUAGGCCGCACUCCUAUGCACACAUGUGAAGUGUAAGGCUAAGCCUUUCUAGGUGGGUCAGUCCAGUACUCACGUCAGUUGCCACGGCGCGGUGCCAGCGAACCAGAUGGCUUGCGUGAUGGCGGCGCCGGUGUUGCCGCCGGCACCCACCAGACCAGACACGACACCGUAGGCGCGGCGCGACACAAAGGGCGUGAUGCCGAAGUGCAGGCCGCAUGCUUGCUGGCAGAAGAUGGAGAAGACGAUCAUGAUGACGAUGGUGGACGACAGAGAGUUGCUGACCUUGCCCAGAACGAUGCAGAAGAUGCCCCCCAGGGUCUGGAUGAUCCAGAGGGCCCAGAUGCGGCCGCGCAUGCCGAACGGCUUGGCAACCAAAUCAGAGAUCAUGCCGCCAGUAGCACGAGUGAAGAGGUUCAUGAGGCCGAAGAUGGCGCCGAGGGCGCCCGCCACCGCAAGGUUGAGGCCAAACUGGUCAAAGAGGUACUCCACAAUGACGUUGUCAACUGUCAGCUCGACGCCGAAGGAGUAGCCGUAGGUCAGGGCCAGAAUCCAAGACCUGGGGGUGGCGGGUGGGCGAGGGUGGGAAGGGUGGGGGAGCGGGGCAAAGGCUUAGCUGCGUGGGAGUUUGGAGGCAAGACCAGCGUAACUGUCAGGCGGGGCACUAGGUGGCAUUGGCGCUAUAUCAAGAAGUGGCAGACAUGAAGCGGCAGGGUUUGACAGUGUCAUAGGCACGGACCCACGCACACGCACGCACACGCAGACACUUGAAACGCACCUGU